RNAcentral lists this ribosomal RNA (454 nucleotides) under uncultured bacterium. RNAcentral's name for it is "bacterial SSU rRNA". It matches the Rfam family "Bacterial small subunit ribosomal RNA", at positions 340 to 786 of the family's 1533-position model. The record is from RNAcentral.
UACGGAAGGCAGCAGUGGGGAAUAUUGCACAAUGGGCGCAAGCCUGAUGCAGCCAUGCCGCGUGUAUGAAGAAGGCCUUCGGGUUGUAAAGUACUUUCAGUCGUGAGGAAGGUGUUAAGGUUAAUAACCUUAGCAAUUGACGUUAGCGACAGAAGAAGCACCGGCUAACUCCGUACCAGCAGCCGCGGUAAUACGGAGGGUGCGAGCGUUAAUCGGAAUUACUGGGCGUAAAGGGCACGCAGGCGGUUAAUUAAGUUGGAUGUGAAAUCCCCGGGCUUAACCUGGGAAUGGCAUUCAAGACUGGUUAGCUAGAGUCUUGUAGAGGGGGUAGAAUUCCAUGUGUAGCGGUGAAAUGCGUAGAGAUGUGGAGGAAUACCGGUGGCGAAGGCGGCCCCUGGACAAAGACUGACGCUCAUGUGCGAAAGCGUGGGGAGCGAAACAGGGAUUAGAUACC